Long non-coding RNA from Nelumbo nucifera (sacred lotus), 628 nucleotides. RefSeq lists it as uncharacterized. Lineage: Eukaryota; Viridiplantae; Streptophyta; Magnoliopsida; Proteales; Nelumbonaceae. The record is from RefSeq and is a predicted model, not a curated record.
UGGGACCUUGAAUCUAACCAAGAGCCAUCAUGUCAUGAUGUCAAGCAUCAGUUUCUCUUUGGCGAAAUAGAUUGAGGGGUUGGCCCGCUACUUUGUUAGAACGAAUAAUCCAAGAAAGAAGAAAGUGUCUGAACCUGGAAAAUCUGAUUAGCUUGAAGAUUUGUCACGCUGGAAAGAGAAAAAGAAGCCGCAGAUGUGGAACAAUUUUUAUGGCGUGAUUUCCUAUCAAGUGAUUUUGUCGUCGUGGAAAAAGGGGCCGUAAUAUUUUGAUGCUUAUACUUCUUCGAUCUUCCACUUGGAAAUCGGCAUCGGAGGAGCCUAGUUGGUAGCCUGGGGCAGAGUUAUUUCUGUAUCGCACCUGGCUGGCGAUUGCUAUAAUGAAAACCGGACUACAAUCAGAUGAAUGAAGAAGAAAGGCAAGCAGCAUGGAGGCUUUGGAACCUAAACCAGUACCAUGUCAGAAAGAAAGAUAAAGUGGUCUAAGGGCCUCUUCACAAACUUGGUUUCCCUUUUUUUUUUCUUUUUCUCUUUAAUUGUAGCGCUUAGGCUUAGUUUAUCUAAAAUCCAUAAAAGAGAACUUUUAGACAAAGCCCAUGUUCAAUCAUUCAAUGAAUUAAGCGUUCAGUUC